UACGUAGGGUGCAAGCGUUGUCCGGAAUUAUUGGGCGUAAAGAGCUCGUAGGCGGUUAGUCACGUCGGCUGUGAAAACCCGCGGCUCAACCGUGUGGUCUGCAGUCGAUACGGGCAGGCUAGAGUUCGGUAGGGGAGACUGGAAUUCCUGGUGUAGCGGUGAAAUGCGCAGAUAUCAGGAGGAACACCGGUGGCGAAGGCGGGUCUCUGGACAGUUCCUGACGCUGAGGCACGAAGGCCAGGGGAGCAAACGGG
This 254-nucleotide ribosomal RNA is filed under the name uncultured bacterium. RNAcentral's name for it is "partial 16S ribosomal RNA". It matches the Rfam family "Bacterial small subunit ribosomal RNA", at positions 524 to 776 of the family's 1533-position model. The record is from RNAcentral.